UACGUAGGGCGUAAGCGUUAUCCGGAAUUAUUGGGCGUAAAGAGCUCGUAGGCGGUUUGUCGCGUCUGCCGUGAAAGUCCGGGGCUCAACUCCGGAUCUGCGGUGGGUACGGGCAGACUGGAGUACUGCAGGGGAGACUGGAAUUCCUGGUGUAGCGGUGAAAUGCGUAGAUAUCAGGAGGAAUACCGGUGGCGAAAGCGACUCUCUGGGCCUUACCUGACGCUCAGGCGCGAAAGCUAGGGGAGCGAACAGG
This 253-nucleotide ribosomal RNA is filed under the name uncultured bacterium. RNAcentral's name for it is "partial 16S ribosomal RNA". It matches the Rfam family "Bacterial small subunit ribosomal RNA", at positions 524 to 776 of the family's 1533-position model. The record is from RNAcentral.